GGCGCUAGUCAAUCAGUUUUACCAGCUAUUUAUCUGAUUUGUAAAAAUCGUGACCGCUACAUUACGCUUAGCCACAAACGUCAAAAAGACAAACUUUACCAAACAGAGACUGAAGAUGGAGGACUGUUACGUAAAGCUGCGGAAGCAAAAUUCAGAUGAGAGUGUCUUAAUACACAUAAGAGACAAGGACUGUGUAGCUAUUGAGGUGCACUAUCAUCGUUCUCGCUACAAGCAGUACACUCGCUUUUUAACCAGAAAAGUUGAUGCUAAAAUAACCGAUGAGGACCACCAAUAAGUCGUACAAAAUUUUCUCUGAGAUAAUCAUCCAGCAACGAAUUAUCAAGAACCGUGAGAUUUUAAGGAUGACCAAGUUACUUCAGUUGUUUUCAAAAAUUGUUAAAAAGCAUGAAGGGC
Long non-coding RNA from Anneissia japonica, 414 nucleotides. RefSeq lists it as uncharacterized. The record is from RefSeq and is a predicted model, not a curated record. The transcript is spliced from 3 exons. Lineage: Eukaryota; Metazoa; Echinodermata; Crinoidea; Comatulida; Comatulidae.